RNAcentral lists this transfer-messenger RNA (279 nucleotides) under Propionibacteriaceae bacterium. RNAcentral describes it as "partial transfer-messenger RNA". It matches the Rfam family "transfer-messenger RNA", at positions 1 to 281 of the family's 374-position model. Rfam says of the family: Bacterial tmRNA, also known as 10Sa RNA or SsrA, is named for its dual tRNA and mRNA-like properties. Its role is to liberate the mRNA from a stalled ribosome. To accomplish this part of the tmRNA is used as a reading frame that ends in a translation stop signal. Lineage: Bacteria; Bacillati; Actinomycetota; Actinomycetes; Propionibacteriales; Propionibacteriaceae. The record is from RNAcentral.
GGGGGUGACUGGUUUCGACUUGGGACGGUGGUCCUGGGAGAAGCGGGUCGAGGAUCCAGGGUUGUCUCGUUAACGAUCUCUGGGAAAACAAUAAGUGCCAAUUCUACGCGCACUGACUUUGCUCUCGCCGCCUGAUCGGUGAUCAAAGGGUCAGCUCGGAUGUGCCUGUCGUCCGAAAUCUGGCCUGGUUAAGCAGGCUUACUCGGCUGGCGUCGUCCGCGCGCCGGCACGAGGAAAUUCAGCGGACUGGGCCUGUCAGCGACAUGUCGGCGUGAGCGC